GAUCAUGGCUCAGGAUGAACGCUGGCGGCGUGCUUAACACAUGCAAGUCGAGGGGCAGCAUGGUCUUAGCUUGCUAAGACUGAUGGCGACCGGCGCACGGGUGAGUAACACGUAUCCAACCUGCCGUCUACUCUUGGACAGCCUUCUGAAAGGAAGAUUAAUACAAGAUGGCAUCAUGAGUCCGCAUGUUCACAUGAUUAAAGGUAUUCCGGUAGACGAUGGGG
This 224-nucleotide ribosomal RNA is filed under the name uncultured bacterium. RNAcentral's name for it is "partial 16S ribosomal RNA". It matches the Rfam family "Bacterial small subunit ribosomal RNA", at positions 15 to 230 of the family's 1533-position model. The record is from RNAcentral.